CCACCCUCCAUUUCUGCCUCAGAUCUAUGUUCAACUGUCUGCUGACCUAUGAGCUGGAUCAUUUCACACCCUGACCUGACUUAAAAUCCAGUUGUUGGGGCCCAAGUGAUAAGACAGUGGGUAAGGUGCUGGCCUUGCACGCACUCCACCCGGGUCUGAUCACAGGCAGUACAUACGGACGGGGAAUGCCUCGUUGUUAAAAACAACAACAAAAUAAAAGGAGAUCCAGUUAUUACAGCCUAUUGAAUUGCAAGAAAACUUCCUGUUUGGGACUGGAGCGAUAGCAUAGCGGAUAGGGCAUUUGCCUUGCACGCAGCCUACCCGGGUUUGAUUCCUAGCAUCCCACAUGGUCCCCCGAGAACCGCCAGAAUGUAAACCCCUUCCCCUAGACCGUAACUGUUCAACCUGACUUCCACACUUCACUUUUCAGAUACUAAAUUAUUUCUACUUUAACCUGGAGUGUUGUCUGACUCACAUAAGCAGGCCAGUGUUUUUGUCCUGAUCGCCCUUACACGUUGAACAGAACUAUACAUGUAGUGCCUUUAACCUAAAGUGGAGUUUUACCAUCUUCCUCUAGGGCUCCUUAAUAGCAGGGAAUCCAUUACAACUGCAGUGCAGUGAUGCUCAAGGAAAAUUAUUUUUGCUUGGAUCAGUCAUGUACAUUAUUGACUGAAAACCCCGUGUGUCAGAAUAUUCCUAAUUCAGUCUCUACUUGGAUGUUUUUCUGGGGGCUUUUCCAUCUAAAUCUGGCCAAGAUAGAUUACCAAAUAGUUAUUAUAAACAAAUGUUGGAUAAGCUUCCAUAAUUUUUCGAUUUGUCCACUACUGGCAGCUUUUCUUUUUUUCAGUGUGUUUGGAAUGUGCUUAGGGAAACAAAAACUUGCAGUUGUUUGAAAUUUGCAAACUUAACUUCACCAAAUUCUAGACUCAACUUCGUUCGAGCACCCUUUUGUGACCACCUUUGGAGAUAAAACUUGACCUGUAAGAGAUCUUUAGGUUAGUUUAAUCUGUUGAGAAUUUAGAAAUAAUUCAAUUUGUAAAACUAAAUAUGUCUAAAUUAGUUGGUUAUAGAAUACCCGCGUCAAUAAAACUUAAGGAUAAAUUAACUGAUCACUGCCAGAUAUGUGGGGCAAAGUUUAAAUACCCUGAACAUUACUGGAUGUGCUUUUUUUGUGUGUUUGCUUUUUGGGUCACACCUGGCAAUGCAGAGGGGUUACUCCUGGCUCUGCACUCAGGAAUCACCCCUGGUGGUGCUCAGAGGACCAUAUGGGAUGCUGGGAAUCGAACCUGGGUUGGCCGUGUGCAAGGCAAACGCCCUACCCGCUGUAAUAUUGCUCCAUGGAUGUGCUUUUAACAACUUCUUCCCCGUUUUUUUCCAGUGAUAGUACCACUACAGUCUAGGAAAUGGGGCUAUUUGGUUGUUAGAAUAACAAACCUAAAGAAGGGAAUUUUCAAGCUAACAUUUCUGACAGAACUAGCUUUAGAAGACUCGCUUGUCAUUUUAGAAACUAGAGGUACAAAAUGAAAUUUGUGUGGCUUCCAAGAAUGCACAUAGGAGGGCUGGAGCGAUAGCACAGCAGAUAGGGCGUUUGCCUUGCACACGGCCUACCCGGGUUCGAUUCCCAGCAUCCCAUACGGGCCCCCGAGCACUGCCAGGAGUAAUUCCUGAACGCAUGAGUCAGAGUGGCCCAUGUGCAUCGCCGGGUAUGACUCAAAAAGCAAAAUAAAAUUAAAAAAAGGAAUGCAUGUAGCCCUUUAAGCUACUAGGAAUUUUAGACGUUGAAAACACGCCCUGUGCACGGGAUUCAUUAUUAUAUGGUUCACUUGGAUCUGUUGUGACUGGCCUUGGACACUUUUUGUUAACUAGUGAGUAUUAUUUUUCUUUUAACAAAGAUUUUCUGCAUGAACAUUUUUUUAUAUGAAUGAAUAUAUAAUUAGUGGUUAUGCUUUCUUUGACAGGUAGAAUUAAAAGAUCAUGUGAUAUUGGAUUAGGAGGAUUUAUCUUGGUUACUUUAGGAUGCUGGUAAGUGUUCUAAGUAUUAAAGAUUUUUAAAUAACUGGUAAUCUAAUUCCAAAGCACAUGUAUGGUCUUCAGAGCAAGCUCAUUAAGAGAUUCCCAUCUUCUUUAAGUGUAGAU
Molecule: RNA transcript, 2136 nt
Organism: Sorex araneus (European shrew)
Lineage: Eukaryota; Metazoa; Chordata; Mammalia; Eulipotyphla; Soricidae
Gene name: cytochrome c oxidase assembly protein COX20, mitochondrial
Exons: 2
Source: RefSeq, a predicted model, not a curated record